Long non-coding RNA from Telopea speciosissima, 155 nucleotides. RefSeq lists it as uncharacterized. Lineage: Eukaryota; Viridiplantae; Streptophyta; Magnoliopsida; Proteales; Proteaceae. The record is from RefSeq and is a predicted model, not a curated record. The transcript has 3 exons.
AUCAGAAUUUGACAUUAUCGAUCGAUUUGGGCGGAUAUGCAAAAAUAUUUCUCAUUAUCACAGUGGAUCCUCAAAAAAAAAAGAGUUUGUACUGAAUAAAGUAUAUACUUCGAUUUUCGUGUGCUAGAACUUUGGCUCAUAAACACAAAAGUACU